CAGCAGCCGCGGUAAUACGUAGGGUGCGAGCGUUAAUCGGAAUUACUGGGCGUAAAGCGUGCGCAGGCGGUUGUGUAAGACAGAUGUGAAAUCCCCGGGCUUAACCUGGGAACUGCGCUUGUGACUGCACAGCUAGAGUAUGGCAGAGGGGGGUGGAAUUCCACGUGUAGCAGUGAAAUGCGUAGAGAUGUGGAGGAACACCGAUGGCGAAGGCAGCCCCCUGGGCCAAUACUGACGCUCAUGCACGAAAGCGUGGGGAGCAAACAGGAUUAGAUACCCGAGUAGUCCCUGUCUCUUAUAU
RNAcentral lists this ribosomal RNA (301 nucleotides) under uncultured bacterium. Its description in RNAcentral is "partial 16S ribosomal RNA". It matches the Rfam family "Bacterial small subunit ribosomal RNA", at positions 509 to 809 of the family's 1533-position model. The record is from RNAcentral.